GCCAGCUGCUCCUGGGCCACGGCCCGGCGGCUCAGGUAGCGGCCAUGCUCCAGCUCUGCGUCCUGGCGGGCGGCGUCCGGCCCAUCCAGGUCCAUCCUCGGCCUGCUUCGCCGCCUCUCUGGAGACGGAACGUCUGCCGAAGGAGAAGGAGGGAUCCUCAGCGGCGGCCCGGCUUCCCGGGAAAUCGGGGUUCCUUCUCCCGCUCAAAGGCGGUGGCCGCGGGAGCCUUCCGGCGCCGAGGCGAACAAUGGCACCGAGUGGGAGGUGGGCGCUGCGCCGCGAGUGCCGGAGCGGCACCGCCCCCGCGCAGCCCCGCCCCGGGCGGGCCGCCACACACGGAGCGAAGGAAGGGAGCCACCCCCGGGAGUCCGGACCCUCCUCCCCAGCCGGUUCCGGAGCAUCUCGUUUCCCUGCGACGCGCCCGUACCCGAUCUGCCUGAUGUUCACGCUCUUUUAUUCUGAAUCAGAAAAAGGUGAAUAAACGGUCUAGGAACUGCAUGAAGUAAUGAACUGCAUAACCACAGGUACCUUGCAGUGAAGAAUGUGAUAGUUUGAGUUGAAGGUGAAGACAGCCUCACCAGAAGUAAAGGCGCACUGAUGCAGCUGUGUCCUGCAGGCAGGAAUCUGCCAAGCCCCUCGUUCUUCCCCAGCUGCUGCCCUUGGAGGUUACUGGACCUGCGCUGCGUUCAGAUGAAAAUAGUGACACCUGGAUUGUGAAAUGUGCUCCUGAAAGAAAACUUCCAAAUGGAUUAAGAAACUCUUACCAACCAGGACAUUGGACAGAAUAUAUGGGCAGAGUUUUUGUCUACUUGGGAGACAAUGGUGUCAAAGAAGAUGAGAUGAAAAGAACUAUGACAACAAUUCCUUUCACUGCGGGAAUGAUAGAUCUUCUGGGAUUUAUUGGCGAGAACAAGCACUUGUUUGAUUGUAUAAUUGUUUCAGAUUCUAAUACAGUAUUUAUUGACUGGAUUUUGAAAGCUGCUGACUUCCAUAAUGUGUUUGAUGAAGUGUUUACAAACCCUGCAGCAUUCAGCAGUACUGGUUAUCUCACUGUACAGCACUUCCAUGCUCACCAUUGUGCAAAGUGCCCUAAAAACCUUUGCAAAAGGAAAGUUUUAAAAGAAUUUCUAGAUAAACAGUUAGAGCGAGGAGUGAGUUAUACAAAAAUUGUAUAUAUAGGUGAUGGUGGGAAUGACCUAUGUCCAGUAAUGUUUUUGAAGAAGAAUGAUGUUGCUAUGCCCAGGCAGGGCUAUACCUUGGAGAGAAAGAUUUCUCAACUGGCCCAGAGUCUCAGUCCCGUACAGUGUUCUGUUCUGGUUUGGUCAUCUGCAAUCGACAUUAUGUCGUACCUGAAACUGCUUAUAAAGGAAUGAUUAAAAUGAUAAAAGGAAACUGGUGCAGUUACAUUUUAACUUAUUGGGAGAGAAAAACUGCAUGUGUAUAAAAGCUCAAAAUUGUAAAAUUGGCUAUUACCUGAAAUGAUGGGUUUUUCAACCAUGACAUAAAACUGUUUAUGUUCAAUCCUAGUAAUAAUAGGAAAAAAAGGCAGUAAAAAAAGGCCUUCUAACAGUACAGAUUCCAACUAAGUGGAGAAGGGGUGUUGGGACAGGACUUAUCAUUAGUUUUUGUCUACUCCCUCCCCUCCAACCCUUUCCCAAGUAUAUAACUGACGUUUUACAAUCCCACAGACUUAGGGGAAGGAGUAGCAUUACUAUUCAAAAUAACUAAAUUCUUUACUUAGAAAAUAUUAGGUGCCAGGAGCAUGGUUCUGGAGCUGUUGGCUUUUAUACUUCUUUGAUCUGAUGGCAGAUUAUUUGUUGUAAUCUUGUUUAAUCAAAAGAUGCAUUUAUAUUUUUAAUCUAUUAAAUAUUUUACCAGACAAAAUUACUUUUUAAUAGUUUGUAUUAUCUUGUAUUGUAAAGACAAUAAAAGUUGCUGUCACUGACAAAUGCAACACAACUAA
Oenanthe melanoleuca is the source of this 1963-nucleotide RNA transcript. It is a transcript of the gene named phosphatase, orphan 2, with no coding region annotated. The transcript has 4 exons. Lineage: Eukaryota; Metazoa; Chordata; Aves; Passeriformes; Muscicapidae. The record is from RefSeq and is a predicted model, not a curated record.